RNAcentral lists this unclassified non-coding RNA (247 nucleotides) under Hevea brasiliensis (rubber tree). The record is from RNAcentral. Lineage: Eukaryota; Viridiplantae; Streptophyta; Magnoliopsida; Malpighiales; Euphorbiaceae.
GUUGACCUCCACCCUUGCACCCUCCAUGCUAUUAUAUUUUAACUAGGAGCCUUUGUUGAGGUGGAUAACAUAGCCAGAAGAAACAAAAAACACUGUUGUAAUUUGUUUAACCAUAGCUAAGGAAAGGUGAAAGGAGGCCCUAAAGAAAGAAUCUCUUUAUGAGUUUGAGGCUGAGAGAAAAGCAUCCUGAACUAUGAGGAGAAGCUCAGUUGAUUAAGCCAUGUAAUGUCAAAUAUACCACAACCCG